RNAcentral lists this ribosomal RNA (1347 nucleotides) under uncultured bacterium. RNAcentral describes it as "bacterial SSU rRNA". It matches the Rfam family "Bacterial small subunit ribosomal RNA", at positions 28 to 1381 of the family's 1533-position model. The record is from RNAcentral.
GACGAACGCUGGCGGCGUGCUUAACACAUGCAAGUCGAACGGAAAGGCCCUGCUUUUGUGGGGUGCUCGAGUGGCGAACGGGUGAGUAACACGUGAGUAACCUGCCCUUGACUUUGGGAUAACUUCAGGAAACUGGGGCUAAUACCGGAUAGGAGCUCCUGCUGCAUGGUGGGGGUUGGAAAGUUUCGGCGGUUGGGGAUGGACUCGCGGCUUAUCAGCUUGUUGGUGGGGUAGUGGCUUACCAAGGCUUUGACGGGUAGCCGGCCUGAGAGGGUGGCCGGCCACAUUGGGACUGAGAUACGGCCCAGACUCCUACGGGAGGCAGCAGUGGGGAAUAUUGCACAAUGGGCGGAAGCCUGAUGCAGCAACGCCGCGUGCGGGAUGACGGCCUUCGGGUUGUAAACCGCUUUCGCCUGUGACGAAGCGUGAGUGACGGUAAUGGGUAAAGAAGCACCGGCUAACUACGUGCCAGCAGCCGCGGUGAUACGUAGGGUGCGAGCGUUGUCCGGAUUUAUUGGGCGUAAAGGGCUCGUAGGUGGUUGAUCGCGUCGGAAGUGUAAUCUUGGGGCUUAACCCUGAGCGUGCUUUCGAUACGGGUUGACUUGAGGAAGGUAGGGGAGAAUGGAAUUCCUGGUGGAGCGGUGGAAUGCGCAGAUAUCAGGAGGAACACCAGUGGCGAAGGCGGUUCUCUGGGCCUUUUCCUGACGCUGAGGAGCGAAAGCGUGGGGAGCGAACAGGCUUAGAUACCCUGGUAGUCCACGCUGUAAACGGUGGGUACUAGGUGUGGGGUCCAUUCCACGGGUUCCGUGCCGUAGCUAACGCUUUAAGUACCCCGCCUGGGGAGUACGGCCGCAAGGCUAAAACUCAAAGGAAUUGACGGGGCCCCGCACAAGCGGCGGAGCAUGCGGAUUAAUUCGAUGCAACGCGUAGAACCUUACCUGGGUUUGACAUGGAUCGGGAGUGCUCAGAGAUGGGUGUGCCUCUUUUGGGGUCGGUUCACAGGUGGUGCAUGCCUGUCGUCAGCUCGUGUCGUGAGAUGUUGGGUUAAGUCCCGCAACGAGCGCAACCCUUGUUCACUGUUGCCAGCACGUUAUGGUGGGGACUCAGUGGAGACCGCCGGGGUCAACUCGGAGGAAGGUGGGGAUGACGUCAAGUCCUCAUGCCCCUUAUGUCCAGGGCUUCACGCAUGCUACAAUGGCUGGUACAGAGAGUGGCGAGCCUGUGAGGGUGAGCGAAUCUCGGAAAGCCGGUCUCAGUUCGGAUUGGGGUCUGCAACUCGACCUCAUGAAGUCGGAGUCGCUAGUAAUCGCAGAUCAGCAACGCUGCGGUGAAUACGUUCCCGGGGCA